GAGUUUGAUCAUGGCUCAGAUUGAACGCUGGCGGCAUGCCUUACACAUGCAAGUCGAACGGCAGCAUGAUCUAGCUUGCUAGAUUGAUGGCGAGUGGCGAACGGGUGAGUAAUACAUCGGAACGUGCCCUGUAGUGGGGGAUAACUAGUCGAAAGAUUAGCUAAUACCGCAUACGACCUGAGAGUGAAAGUGGGGGACCGCAAGGCCUCAUGCUAUAGGAGCGGCCGAUGUCUGAUUAGCUAGUUGGUGGGGUAAAGGCCCACCAAGGCGACGAUCAGUAGCUGGUCUGAGAGGACGAUCAGCCACACUGGGACUGAGACACGGCCCAGACUCCUACGGGAGGCAGGCAGUGGGGAAUUUUGGACAAUGGGCGAAAGCCUGAUCCAGCAAUGCCGCGUGUGUGAG
This 405-nucleotide ribosomal RNA is filed under the name uncultured microorganism. RNAcentral describes it as "bacterial SSU rRNA". It matches the Rfam family "Bacterial small subunit ribosomal RNA", at positions 9 to 409 of the family's 1533-position model. The record is from RNAcentral.